UUAACACAUGCAAGUCGGACGGGAGACACGGGACAUGGUGUUUCCAGUGACGGAUGGGUGAGUAACGCGUAAGAACCUGCCCUUGGGAGGGGAAUAACAACUGGAAACGACUGCUAAUACACCGUAGGCUGAGAAGCAAAAGGAGGAAUCUGCUUGAGGAAGGGGUCACGUCUGAUUAGCUAGUUGGUGAGACAAUAGCUUACCAAGUUGAUGAUCAGUAAGCCACACUGAAACUAAGACACGGCCCAAACUCUCUAUAUAUAUAUCAAUGA
RNAcentral lists this non-coding RNA (272 nucleotides) under Solanum tuberosum (potato). RNAcentral's name for it is "Bacterial small subunit ribosomal RNA". It matches the Rfam family "Bacterial small subunit ribosomal RNA", at positions 48 to 346 of the family's 1533-position model. The record is from Rfam by way of RNAcentral. Lineage: Eukaryota; Viridiplantae; Streptophyta; Magnoliopsida; Solanales; Solanaceae.